GGUUAGGGUUUGGGUUAGCAAAUUUCUCCACUUGUCGACCUUUGUUUUUAACUGUGGGAAUUAGGAGUGGAGUCUCUUCCUCUCCACACAGCCCAGUAGGUACGCUGCCUAUGUGCCUGUGGAGAACAGCGGUUCCUGUAGGGCCGACAGAUGUGGACCAAGUAGCUGUGAAAUAUCUUCUGAAGAAAACGCACGAGGAAGACGCGGGGAGACAGGAGACAUCAAUAUAUGUAAGAUGAAGGUUGGUUCCGUCGGGAAAGGUGGGACAACUCGACGCAGGGAGGGGGCUUCCAGGUCACAGGUAGGUGAGAGACAAACUGUUGUAUUCUUUUGGGUUUCUGAAUAGCCUCCCCAAAGGAGGCCAUCAGAUAUGCACUUAUCUCAGUGUGCAGAGGGGUGACUUUGAAUAGAAGGGGAGGCAGGUUUGCCCUAAGCAGUUCCCAGCUUUUUUCCCUUUAGAUUAGUGAUUUUUGGGCCCUCAGAUUCAUUUUCCUUUCACAAGCUAAACAGCUUUAGGAACUGAAAGUUUCAUGAGGCUGUAAGGAAGAGUCGAGUUGCUCCAGGUGAGCCUGGGCCACAGCAGCAUGCAGGAUCUGGGCGCCCAUGUGGGGCUCCUGGGAGGGUUCGGGAAAGGGAGCUGUGAACCCUGACUAUCUGAGAUGGUUUCAGGUGAUUGAGAAAGUUCAUUUUGCCGAGGUUGAGGACGUGCACCCGUGACAGCCUCAGGAGAUCCUGACGACAAGUGCCCAAGGUGGUCAGGGCACAGCUUGGUUUUAGGGAGACAUGAGACGUCAGUCAAUACAUGUCAGAAGCACCUUGCUUCCAUCCAGAAAGGUGGGGACAACUGGAAGCAGGGAGGGGGCUUCCAAGGUCACAGGUAGGUGACAGACAAAUGUUGCGUUGUUUUGAGUUUCUGGUUAGCCUCUCCAAAGGAGGCGAUCGGAUGUGCACCUGUCUUAGUGAGGAGAUAGGUGAUUUGGAAUAGAAUGGGAGGCAGGUUUGCCCUGAGCACUUCCCAGCUUCACUUUUCCCUUUAGCUUAGUAAUUUUGGGGCCCCAAGAUUUCUUUGCACAGAGCCUAGGACUAGAUUUGCAUUUUUAGAUCCUGCGAGGAGGCUGCUACACACACGCAGAAGUCAUGCUGGUGGCCUGGACACCGAAGGGAGAGAAGUGGAUUUGAGAGACAUUUAGGAGUGUAUGAUUUGGAUGAAACAAGAGAAAGGGACUGACUGUUGCUGAGUCCCUGCUGCAGUCCUGACACAGCUGGAGACACCCUGCUCUCCAGCUCUCCUUAUUUUGUUGAUGCUUAUGAGGACCAUGUUGUCUAAGGAAGACGGUUCCCAUCCAACUCUGCCCCUGGUGUGUCACGUGCUGGCCGUGUCAACACACACGAGAACCUGACAGGCACCACUGGGUUAGGUCUCCACGACUGAGCUGGUCUCGGCAAGUGGUGCCUAUACGUGGGGCUCGAAUCCAGGUUGAAGGUCGCCAGAGCGACAGUUGGAGAAUGUGGAACUAAGCUGGAGGACACCCGAGUACUCUUAAGGAAUCCCUGUGGACCCAUGCAAGAAGAGGCCAUGGUUUUGGAGUACCUGGUAGUGUGUCCACAGUGAAGACCAGAGUUUCAUUGUCCUCAAGACUGACCUGGGGGGACGUGGCUGCGGGCCAGUGAGGAAGAUGGCACCAAAAGUGAAGAAGGAAGCUCCUGCCCCUCCUAAAGCCAAAGCCGAAGCAAAGGCUUUAAAGGCCAAGAAGGCAGCGUUGAAAUGUGUCCACAGCCCCCCCCCCAAAAAAGAUCUGCACCUCCCCCACCUUCCAGCGUCCCAAGACACUAGGACUCCAGCCCAGAUAUCCUGGGACAAGCACCCCCCGGAGAAACAAGCUUGACCACCAUGCUAUCAUCAAGUUUCCACUGACCACUGAGUCAGCCGUGAAGAAGAUAGAAGACAACAGCACACUUGUGUUCACUGUUGAUGUUAAAGCCAACAAGCACCAGAUCAAACAGAAUGUGAAGAAGCUCUGGGACGUGGAUAUGGCCACGGUCAACAUCCUGAUUCGGCCUGAUGGAGAGAAGAAGGCAUAUGUUCGACUGGCUCCUGAUUACGAUGCUUUGGAUGUUGCCAACAAACUUGGGAUCAUCUAAACUGAGUACAGCUGGCUGAUUCUAAAUAUAUGUAUAUCUUUUCACCAUAAAAAAAGGAAAUAAUGUUUUUCAUAAGCAUGAUGACUUAAAAUCUUAAAGCUUAUAGAUUUGAUUGUAAUUAUCUAGUAAGUAUAGUAUUAGCUUCUUGUAAGCACUCAAGCAGAAUAAAAACUUGUUUGUUGC
Molecule: long non-coding RNA, 2325 nt
Organism: Rhinopithecus roxellana (golden snub-nosed monkey)
Lineage: Eukaryota; Metazoa; Chordata; Mammalia; Primates; Cercopithecidae
Exons: 6
Source: RefSeq, a predicted model, not a curated record